This 253-nucleotide ribosomal RNA is filed under the name uncultured bacterium. RNAcentral's name for it is "partial 16S ribosomal RNA". It matches the Rfam family "Bacterial small subunit ribosomal RNA", at positions 524 to 776 of the family's 1533-position model. The record is from RNAcentral.
UACGUAGGGUGCAAGCGUUGUUCGGAAUUACUGGGCGUAAAGGGCUCGUAGGCGGCCAACUAAGUCGGAUGUGAAAUCCCCAGGCUUAACCUGGGAACUGCAUCCGAUACUGGAUGGCUUGAAUCCGGGAGAGGGAUGCGGAAUUCCAGGUGUAGCGGUGAAAUGCGUAGAUAUCUGGAGGAACACCGGUGGCGAAGGCGGCAUCCUGGACCGGCAUUGACGCUGAGGAGCGAAAGCCAGGGGAGCAAACGGG